GACGAACGCUGGCGGCGUGCCUAAUACAUGCAAGUAGAACGCACAGUUUAUACCGUAGCUUGCUACACCAUAGACUGUGAGUUGCGAACGGGUGAGUAACGCGUAGGUAACCUGCCUGGUAGCGGGGGAUAACUAUUGGAAACGAUAGCUAAUACCGCAUAAUAUUGAUUAUUGCAUGAUAAUUGAUUGAAAGAUGCUAUUGCAUCACUACUAGAUGGACCUGCGUUGUAUUAGCUAGUAGGUGAGGUAACGGCUCACCUAGGCGACGAUACAUAGCCGACCUGAGAGGGUGGUCGGCCACACUGGGACUGAGACAAGGCCCAGACUCCUACGGGAGGCAGCAGUAGGGAAUCUUCGGCAAUGGACGGAAGUCUGACCGAGCAACGCCGCGUGAGUGAAGAAGGGUUUCGGAUCGUAAAGCUCUGUUGUAAGAGAGGAACGGGUGUGAGAGUGGAAAGUUCACACUGUGACGGUAUCUGACCAGAAAGGGACGGCUAACUACGUG
This 505-nucleotide ribosomal RNA is filed under the name uncultured bacterium. Its description in RNAcentral is "partial 16S ribosomal RNA". It matches the Rfam family "Bacterial small subunit ribosomal RNA", at positions 28 to 507 of the family's 1533-position model. The record is from RNAcentral.